Non-coding RNA from Bemisia tabaci, 370 nucleotides. NCBI's taxonomy places the organism in Eukaryota, Metazoa, Arthropoda, Insecta, Hemiptera, Aleyrodidae. The record is from RefSeq and is a predicted model, not a curated record.
UCUGCUUUUGUUUAUUUGUAUCACAAACAGUUGGAGCACUUUAAGGACACCCAUUCCUCUGAAAAUGUCUCUUAUCGGUCAUCUUACCGUCUCCGCCAGAUGCCUCUUCCUCAUCAGCUUGCCACUGUCGAUAUAUGGAGGAUUAAAGGACUUGUUCGUUUUUCAAGGGUAUCCACUUAGUGUAGCGACUUGCUCAUGAGUUAAUUUCAUGACUCAACUAUAUCACAAGUCAUCACUCUCGCUGUACUCUGCUUAGUUGAUUGGUCAUGUUCUGUAAGUUCUGGUUUCAAAUAUCUUGUUAAAUUCUUAGUGUCUGUCUUGUCUCUCAUGUGAAAAGUCAAUAAAGAGAUAAAAUUUUUGGAAGCAUUUA